This 684-nucleotide ribosomal RNA is filed under the name Lecithodendriidae sp. JSU:FL25.1. RNAcentral describes it as "SSU rRNA". It matches the Rfam family "Eukaryotic small subunit ribosomal RNA", at positions 145 to 744 of the family's 1831-position model. Lineage: Eukaryota; Metazoa; Platyhelminthes; Trematoda; Plagiorchiida; Lecithodendriidae. RNAcentral also lists the same sequence under 1 other name. The record is from RNAcentral.
AACUGUAGUAAUUCUAGAGCUAAUACAUGCCACGAUGCCCUGACCCUUCGGGGAAUGGGUGCAUUUAUUAGAACAGAACCAACCGGGUGCAUUCCUUGCGUUUGUGCCUGUCACAUUCUGUGAUGACUCUGGAUAACUUUGCUGAUCGCAGUCGGCCUUGUGUCGGCGACGAAUCUUUCAAAUGUCUGCCCUAUCAAUUGUCGAUGGUAGGUGACCUGCCUACCAUGGUGAUAACGGGUAACGGGGAAUCAGGGUUCGAUUCCGGAGAAAGAGCCUGAGAAACGGCUACUAUUUCCAAGGAAGGCAGCAGGCGCGCAACUUACCCAAUCCCGGCACGGGGAGGUAGUGACGAAAAAUACGGAUGCGGGACUCAACAGAGGCUCCGUAAUUCGAAUGAGUAAACUUUAAAUCCUUUAACGAGGACCAACUGGAGGGCAAGUCUGGUGCCAGCAGCCGCGGUAACUCCAGCUCCAGAAGCGUAUAUUAAAGUUGUUGCAGUUAAAAAGCUCGUAGUUGGAUCUGGGACGCAUGGUUACGUGCCGUCACUUGCAUUUCUAGUCUAGCCACGGUUGGGCCGGAUUUGUGAGGCGGUUUCGUAGCUGUGUAGCCUUUCUGCCGUGUCUGUUUCGACAGGUGCUGACGGUCAUACGUUGGCAUGCUUCCAGAUGCUCUUAACCGGGUGUC